Molecule: ribosomal RNA, 468 nt
Filed under: uncultured bacterium
Lineage: Bacteria
Description: partial 16S ribosomal RNA
Rfam family: Bacterial small subunit ribosomal RNA
Source: RNAcentral
GACGAACGCUGGCGGCGUGCUUAACACAUGCAAGUCGAACGGAAAGGCCCUGCUCUUGUGGGGAGCUCGAGUGGCGAACGGGUGAGUAUCACGUGAGUAACCUGCCCUUGACUUUGGGAUAACAUCAUGAAACUGGAACUAAUACCGCACAGGAGCACCUGCAACAUGGGGGGGGUUGGAAAGUUUCGCAGGUUGAGGAUGCACUCGAGGCUUAUCAGCUUGUUGGUGGGGUAGUGGGUUACCAAGGCAUCGACGGGUAGCCGGCCUGAGAGGGUGACCGGCCACAUUGGGACUGAGAUGCGGCCCAGACUCCUACGGGAGGCAGCAGUGAGGAAUAGUGCACAAUGGGCGGAAGCCGGAUGCAGCAACGCCGCGUGCGGGAUGACGGCCUUCGGGGUGUAAACCGCUUUCGCCUGUGACGAAGCGUGAGUGACGGUAAUGGGUAAAGAAGCACCGGCUAACUACGUG